GUUGCCCUGUGUGUUGUGCCUUGGGCUCCACCGUGGGGAGAAAGCGGGUUAGCUUGGCAACUGCACCAUGUAGUGAAGAGGACUUGGAGCAGUUGAAAACAAUCAUCCCAAGUUGGUUGAGCAAUGCCUUCUCAAUCCCAGGCUUGCACCACACUGUCAAGUUGAUAAUUGACUUGAAUACUUACUCCUUCCUCUGCUGUCCAGUGCUGGGAAGACAGUUCUGCAGCUCCUUCCAGGCUGGGCCUUGACUGAAUACAGUGACCUAUGAUGAUUUACAUAUCGACUUCACUUGGAAAGAAUGGGCUUUGCUGGAUCCUUCCCAGAAAAAUCUCUACAAAGAUGUGAUGCU
This is a long non-coding RNA of Microtus oregoni (creeping vole), 349 nucleotides long. RefSeq lists it as uncharacterized. The transcript has 4 exons. NCBI's taxonomy places the organism in Eukaryota, Metazoa, Chordata, Mammalia, Rodentia, Cricetidae. The record is from RefSeq and is a predicted model, not a curated record.